Long non-coding RNA from Alligator mississippiensis (American alligator), 516 nucleotides. RefSeq lists it as uncharacterized. The transcript is spliced from 2 exons. The record is from RefSeq and is a predicted model, not a curated record. Lineage: Eukaryota; Metazoa; Chordata; Crocodylia; Alligatoridae.
GGGCCUUGGCAGCUGCCAGGGGGAGUGGAGCUCAUGCAGAAAAGCUCCAUGGAGAUACCUGGGUGCCUGCGCUGCUGCUGGAUGAAGUGCACCAGCAUUAAAAAGGAGCAGAAAGAUGCAGACUCUUUGAGUGCCUUGUAACCCCUGGGUGUAGGAGCUGGCAGGGAGAAGAGGUACUUCCCAGUUGGGAAGCAACAUUGACAGCGAGCCUUACCUUGAGCAAGCAAGCGCCACCCCCGUGAAUGUAGGGCAAGGAAAGCUGCCUUAUGUUCAUGAGAGAACUAGCUCAUUGCCAGCUCCCCCCAGGAAGGUGCCGUCUUAGGCAGGCAGAUCCCUUCCCAUCUGCUCCCUCCUGCACAAGCAGGCUGAAAACACAAGUCAUCCAGCUGAGGAAAACAGAGAGGCAUCCUUAUAAUUAACUACUGUCUACUCCAGGCAGCUGAGCUACAUCCCAGUCCAAUUUUAGACUGGCACUGUAGAAAUUAGCAAUGAAGAAAAAAAAAAAAAAAAGAGAAA